UAGCAGCUAUCCCUUCCCUGGGGAGGUCU
RNAcentral lists this non-coding RNA (29 nucleotides) under Mus musculus (house mouse). Lineage: Eukaryota; Metazoa; Chordata; Mammalia; Rodentia; Muridae. The record is from RNAcentral.